GCGCCCGUAGCUCAGUGGAUAGAGCGUCGGUUUCCGGAGCCGAAGGUCAUAGGUUCGAAUCCUAUCGGGCGUA
Molecule: transfer RNA, 73 nt
Filed under: Planctomycetota bacterium
Lineage: Bacteria; Pseudomonadati; Planctomycetota
Description: Planctomycetes bacterium tRNA-Arg
Rfam family: tRNA
About the family: Transfer RNA (tRNA) molecules are approximately 80 nucleotides in length. Their secondary structure includes four short double-helical elements and three loops (D, anti-codon, and T loops).
Source: RNAcentral